RNAcentral lists this unclassified non-coding RNA (236 nucleotides) under Hevea brasiliensis (rubber tree). Lineage: Eukaryota; Viridiplantae; Streptophyta; Magnoliopsida; Malpighiales; Euphorbiaceae. The record is from RNAcentral.
ACACGAAAUCUUUCUAACUUAAACAAAAUUGCACAUUAAUGGGUUCUUAUAAAUCAUACAAUUUUGUCCUCCUGUUAAGCUAAAUUCAAUAAUGAUCAUGACAAAGUGAUAACCAUUUAGGUAAGACAAAAAUAUAUUUCCAACUCACAGCUCUGUAUAACCAGAAUAUCCAAACCAUAAAAACAUUCCUUUGUAUAAAAUGUUGCAAGAAACAGCUCCUCUCUGAUCUGGUAUGG